Molecule: long non-coding RNA, 734 nt
Filed under: Gadus morhua (Atlantic cod)
Lineage: Eukaryota; Metazoa; Chordata; Actinopteri; Gadiformes; Gadidae
Description: lncRNA (ENSGMOG00000030045.1)
Source: RNAcentral
GCCUGACAGGACUUAGCCCGGCUGUGAAACAUGUCCUGGCUGGUGGCACCCCACAAACGGCCACCAUUACGUUAGAAGAUAUCACAGACAUCGAUGUACGAGAAACACUUGGACCACUUCACGAAGUCUGUGAAAAAAAUGGCAACCUUACAUCCCUGUCCCUGGAGCAAAAGGAUGCCAUUAAUACGCUGGCCAUUGAAAUGGAUUAUCCAAUAUUGAAAGAGGCCAACCGCUCUUGGCUGCUGCACAAUAUACUCCAGGAUGUGGUUUUUGGACGGAUAAAAAAGCAGCUCAAGCAGCUCAAAGAAGGUCUGAAAGAGACCAAUGUUCUUAACUGGAUGGAAGCAAGACCUGAUGCUGUCAAAGAAGUGUUCCCAUCGCAGGCAGAGGCUACAUGUAGUCCAGAGGUUGUUCUAGAAUUAAUUCAGUGGCCCCAAGAAGUUGAGGGCCAGGAACAAAAUAGAAUAAAGGAGUUCCUAUUACAGUUCAUCCGCACAGUCUCCCAGGACAAGCUUAAAGAGCUACUUAAGUUCUGGGUCGGGUGGGAGAUCCCGAUGUGUGACAUGAAGGUGGAGGUGGUGGAUAACCCUUACCCAGGGGCAUCCACGUGCUUCCACACACUCCGCCUACCGUCUCACUAUGAGACCUAUGACGAAUUUAGUCAAAGCUUGGAAAUGUGCGUUGGCACCGUUGAGUUCGGGUUCGGGUUACUAUGAUGAGUCUGAGUGUAUUAG